GGCGAACGCUGGCGGCGUGCCUAAUACAUGCAAGUUGAGCGCUGAAGGUUGGUACUUGUACCAACUGGAUGAGCAGCGAACGGGUGAGUAACGCGUGGGGAAUCUGCCUUUGAGCGGGGGACAACAUUUGGAAACGAAUGCUAAUACCGCAUAAAAACUUUAAACACAAGUUUUAAGUUUGAAAGAUGCAAUUGCAUCACUCAAAGAUGAUCCCGCGUUGUAUUAGCUAGUUGGUGAGGUAAAGGCUCACCAAGGCGAUGAUACAUAGCCGACCUGAGAGGGUGAUCGGCCACAUUGGGACUGAGACACGGCCCAAACUCCUACGGGAGGCAGCAGUAGGGAAUCUUCGGCAAUGGACGAAAGUCUGACCGAGCAACGCCGCGUGAGUGAAGAAGGGUUUCGGAUCGUAAAACUCGGUUGGUAGAGAAGAACGUUGGUGAGAGUGGAAAGCUCAUCAAGUGACGGUAACUACCCAGAAAGGGACGGCUAACUACGUA
This 497-nucleotide ribosomal RNA is filed under the name uncultured bacterium. Its description in RNAcentral is "partial 16S ribosomal RNA". It matches the Rfam family "Bacterial small subunit ribosomal RNA", at positions 28 to 507 of the family's 1533-position model. The record is from RNAcentral.